This 492-nucleotide ribosomal RNA is filed under the name uncultured bacterium. RNAcentral's name for it is "bacterial SSU rRNA". It matches the Rfam family "Bacterial small subunit ribosomal RNA", at positions 30 to 501 of the family's 1533-position model. The record is from RNAcentral.
AUUGAACGCUGGCGGCAGGCCUAACACAUGCAAGUCGAACGGUAACAGGAAGCAGCUUGCUGCUUUGCUGACGAGUGGCGGACGGGUGAGUAAUGUCUGGGAAACUGCCUGAUGGAGGGGGAUAACUACUGGAAACGGUAGCUAAUACCGCAUAACGUCGCAAGACCAAAGAGGGGGACCUUCGGGCCUCUUGCCAUCGGAUGUGCCCAGAUGGGAUUAGCUAGUAGGUGGGGUAACGGCUCACCUAGGCGACGAUCCCUAGCUGGUCUGAGAGGAUGACCAGCCACACUGGAACUGAGACACGGUCCAGACUCCUACGGGAGGCAGCAGUGGGGAAUAUUGCACAAUGGGCGCAAGCCUGAUGCAGCCAUGCCGCGUGUAUGAAGAAGGCCUUUCGGGUUGUAAAGUACUUUCAGCGGGGAGGAAGGGAGUAAAGUUUAAGUAACCUUUUGGACUCAAUUGACGUUACCCGCAGAAGAAGCACCGGCUAAA